This 497-nucleotide ribosomal RNA is filed under the name uncultured bacterium. RNAcentral's name for it is "partial 16S ribosomal RNA". It matches the Rfam family "Bacterial small subunit ribosomal RNA", at positions 28 to 507 of the family's 1533-position model. The record is from RNAcentral.
GAUGAACGCUGGCGGCGUGCCUAAUACAUGCAAGUCGAACGAACAGAUCAGGCGUUUGCUCCUUUGACGUUAGCGGCACGCGGGUGUGUCACAUGUGUAUAAUCCACCUGUAUGACUGGGAUAUCUUCGAGACAGCGGAGCUAAUACCGUAUAACAUCUUGCAGCACAGGGUUCAAUAGUGAAAGGCGGCUUUGCUGUCACUUAUCGCUGCAUCUGCGCCGUAUUAUCUAGUUGUUACGGUAAAGGCUUACGACGGCGACGAUGCGUGGCCGAACUGACAGGGUGAUCGGCGGCAUGGGAGCGGAGACGCGGUCCUGACUCCUAAGAGACGCAGCAGUAGCGAAGCGGCGGCAAUGGGCGAGAACCUGACGGAGCGACGCCGCGUGAGUUAUGAAGAUCCUCGGUUCGUAAAGAUCUGUUUUCGGUGAAGAACAGCUUUGUAAGUUACUGAGCCCAGCGUGACGGUACCGGGUCAGAAAGCCACGGCUAACUACGUG